RNAcentral lists this ribosomal RNA (446 nucleotides) under uncultured bacterium. RNAcentral's name for it is "bacterial SSU rRNA". It matches the Rfam family "Bacterial small subunit ribosomal RNA", at positions 43 to 505 of the family's 1533-position model. The record is from RNAcentral.
CAGGCCUAACAAAUGCAAGUCGAGCGAUGAAGCACCUUCGGGUGUGGAUUAGCGGCGAACGGGUGAGGAACACGUGAGGAAUCUGCCUUCCACUCUGGGAUAACUCCGGGAAACCGGGGCUAAUACCGGAUACUUUCAACUGGCGGCAUCGCCGGUUGAAGAAAGUUUUUCGGUGGAAGAUGACCUCGCGGCCUAUCAGCUUGUUGGUGAGGUAAUGGCUCACCAAGGCAACGACGGGUAGCCGGCCUGAGAGGGCGACCGGCCACACUGGGACUGAGACACGGCCCAGACUCCUACGGGAGGCAGCAGUGGGGAAUAUUGGGCAAUGGAGGAAACUCUGACCCAGCGACGCCGCGUGAGGGAUGAAGGCCUUCGGGUUGUAAACCUCUUUCAGCAGGGAAUAAGCGAAAGUGAAGGUACCUGCAGAAGAAGCACCGGCAACUAUG